AUUGAACGCUGGCGGAAUGCUUUACACAUGCAAGUCGAGCGGCAGCACGGGGGCAACCCUGGUGGCGAGCGGCGAACGGGUGAGUAAUACAUCGGAACAUGCCCAGUCGUGGGGGAUAACGCUUCGAAAGAAGUGCUAAUACCGCAUACGUCCUGAGGGGGAAAGCGGGGGAUCGCAAGACCUCGCGCGAUUGGAGUGGCCGAUGUCAGAUUAGCUAGUUGGUGGGGUAAAGGCCUACCAAGGCAACGAUCUGUAGCUGGUCUGAGAGGAUGAUCAGCCACACUGGGACUGAGACACGGCCCAGACUCCUACGGGAGGCAGCAGUGGGGAAUUUUGGACAAUGGGGGCAACCCUGAUCCAGCCAUUCCGCGUGAGUGAAGAAGGCCUUCGGGUUGUAAAGCUCUUUCGGCAGGAACGAAACGGUGAGCUCUAACAUAGCUUGCUAAUGACGGUACCUGAAGAAGAAGCACCGGCUAACUACGUG
Molecule: ribosomal RNA, 484 nt
Filed under: uncultured bacterium
Lineage: Bacteria
Description: partial 16S ribosomal RNA
Rfam family: Bacterial small subunit ribosomal RNA
Source: RNAcentral